Molecule: long non-coding RNA, 6497 nt
Organism: Trifolium pratense (red clover)
Lineage: Eukaryota; Viridiplantae; Streptophyta; Magnoliopsida; Fabales; Fabaceae
Exons: 4
Source: RefSeq, a predicted model, not a curated record
ACUCUUCUUUUACUCAUCAAGAUUUUGUUUUGUAUAAUUUUUUGAUAUAAUUCUCUGUUUGGUAAUCGAGAGACGCGUUUAUCGGUUUUGCAGCAGGCUAAGAGCUUCCGAUGUCUAGAAUGCGUUCAUAAAAUGGACAAGAGCCAGAGCCAAUAGUUUUAAUUUGGUGAUCUCUAGUAAAUUCUUUUUGUUUCAAUCUUUAUCGAUUUUGAGAGCAUAAACUUCAUGAUUUGUUAUUUAUUCUUAGGUGUUGCUGGAGAGGAUAUGAUUUUGAUUUACGUCUGGAUAUGCGCUCAUAAUUUCACACAAUCAAACUUCUCUUGACUCUUCUUUUACUCAUCAAGAUUUUAUUUUGUAUAAUUUUUUGAUAUAAUUCAUUGUUUGAUAAUCGAGAGAUGUGUUUAUCCGUUUUGCAGUGGGCUAUGAAGUUUCGAUGGAAUGCCUUGAUAAAAUGGACAAGAACAUGGAGCGUAAAGUUUUAAUUUGGUGAUCUCUAGUAAAUUCUUUUUGUUUCCAUAUAGUUUUUUUUAUAUAACUUGUCAAACUAUUGAAAAUAAAAGAAUAUCAAAAUAUCCGUUUAUACAUUGCAGCGAGCUGAUUUCUGGAUAUCUCGAACAAUUUGGGAUUAUAAUGAAUAAGAACGAUAAUAGCUGCUAUAGAUGCAUAAUCAAAUUUCCUCAAUCAUUCGUUCUUUAUUAUUUUAUUUUUUUGGGCUUUGAUUACCAUACACUCAAAUUGAAUCGUGAAUCUGUUUUUCUGCAGCAUGGUUUGUCAAAAUCAAAAAAAUGUUGAUCUUUCAUCAAGGCAUCGAGACCUCAAGUUUUGAUUUGGUUCUCUCUUUUAAAAUAUUCUAGUUUUCAAUAACUCCAUCGCUUUCGAAUGCAUAUUUUCUUGAUAUUAUAUUUCCUUUGAUGUGAACACUGAUUUCUUCUGGUUCUAUCUUUCUUUUGUUUGAUCUUCAUGUUUUGUAUUCUUAUUCUUUUCAGGUCUUUUGAUUUGGUUCUGGCUUAGACCGCCGUACAUGUGAAUUGAAAUAUGACAUGCUGUUUUCUGCAGUGUAGUGUGUUUUGAAACAAUAACAUUCUAAGUAGCAUCAAGCCUCAGGUUCAUUUUGCUACCAUGUACUUGGGUUGUGAACUAUUUUUAUUUUCAUUUCUAUUCUUAUUGUCUAGUCCAUUUACUUCUUUGUUCUAUGUUUGGCUUUUUUAUCUGAAUUCUGACAGUGCAAAAGUUUACAUGAUUCUUUAGGAGUUGGGACAACUUGGUGGUCCUCUCUUUGUAAUGUGGAUCCGCGACUUGGUUUGAAGAAUUAUGCAACUAUUCUUUCUUUCUUCUUGUUUAUUAUUUUACAACUUAUUUUUCACAGCGUAAUCUUUCUGUAAAUGUAUCAUGUGGUGUUGGUAGAGCAAGUUUUACAUGGGUUUGGUGUAUUACAAAAGUCUUCAUCUUUCUCAAUCACACUGCACCUUUUCAAUUCGCCGUCUGAAAUGUAGAAUAUUGGAGAUGAGUUUCUUUGCCGGAUUAUGAAUUCUUUACGUUUCAUUAUAUCCGUUUCAGCAUCUCCACACUUCUCGAUUCCUUUGUGAAAGCUUAGAGAGAGGUUAUCUUAGACUCUCCCUUUUUUAUCUUUGGCAAAUAACUUGUCAUUUUUAAGUUAUAUGUAUUUCUUCCAGUGGUGAAGUUUUUGUGUUUCUGUAUCCGUAACUUCAGAUUUACUCCGUGGUUUUGCACACAACUUCUGGAGUAACUCUUCCCUUCCUAACGAUUUAGGAAUUUUGGACAACUUGGUUAUGGAGAGAUGAUAUUCUUCUACAGUUAUUUGUUGGCUAUGUUAAUUUUACUUCAUUGUUUCUCUGUUGAUUCUUGUUGUUUACUCUCUCGAUUUACAGGAGAGAAAUAAAUGAAUGUGCAACUAUGGCGGUGAUUAUAAUUGGUUGGGGGUUUGCUUGAAUACUACUUAUUAAGCAUCUUUCAUAGUGUAUAUUUUCUGACAAUUGCUUUAAUAAUAUUUUUUUUCAAGUUUAUUUCAUUCUUGAGAAUCUGUGUAUAUUUGUCAAGACCCGAUACUAACUCAUAUUUAGUCUGCUAAGCCUAGCCUAUACACUUUGUUAACUUUUCCUCUCUUCUGGAAUUAAUUUGGUAAUUCAAAUUUAGAUUUGAACAUCUCUGUUGGGAUUAUUCUUUGCAAGUUAUGGCGAGAUUAUCAGAUAAUGGUGAUUCAUCAUUGGGAUGUAAUUGGUUCUUUUUAUCACAUGUAUAUGUAUUUUGUGUUUCUUCCAUUGUUGAAUUUUUAUUUGUUUUUGUAUCCAGAACCUGAGUACUCUGACAAAGAUUAGAAGAUUUUGGAAUGACACUUUGGUCUUUCCCAAGAUGAGGAAUUUUGGACAGCUUGGAUACAUAAACUUGAUUCUGAUGAUUUGUUUGUUAGGGCCAGAUAACAUAACUUUGUCGGGGGAGGUUUUCUAAAUCUUCUUUACCUUUUUUUUUGUGUGAUUAGUGAUUUAUGAUGAUGAUACACCUAAAAUAAUACCCUCUUCAUUAUAGUGGCCAAAGGACUCCUCUGUAUUAGGUGGAAGCCAAAAUUGUAUCAUUUAAUAUGGCUACAUGAUCUUGCAAAUUGGAUGGAUUACAUUUCAGUCUUUUUUUGAUACUCAACAUAUACUUUUAUCAGUUCCUGAGUUUUCUUUGUGGGUGUUACAGGGGAGAGAGCCUAUAAAUAUGUGCUUUACUGUGGAACCCAUGGCAGACAGAGGCUCACUGUAUUUUUUUACUUGGUUACUUUGGUCUCCUGAUGUUGAGGUUUGAUUUGGUUCAUAUUUUAAUGACCCCUGCGCCUACUAUGAAUUUUUUGGGUUUUAAUUGAUUGCUCUUCCAAUUCACGUUUGAUUAUGUGUCUACUCUUUUUGAUAUUACUUGUCAUUCAAUAAAUUUGCUAUCAUUGUUAAAAAUAAGAAGAAUUUUGAGAUAUUCGUUGAUCCAUUUUUGCAGCGAGCUUAUUUCUGAUUUUUGGAUAUCUGGAACAAUUUGCAAUUCUUGAUGAUAAUGAAUACGAAUGAUGAUAAUGGCUACUGGCUACAUACAUAGAUCAAAUUUCUUUGAUGAGUCGUUCUUUAUUAUUUUUAUUUUGGAGCUAUAUUCUUCGAUCGUGUACAAGUUGGUGUUGAAGUUUUUGUGUUUCUUCCAGUGUUGAAUUUUUAUUUGUUUUUGUAUCCAGAACCCGAAUACUCUAACAAAGAUUAGAAGAUUUUCGAAUGACUCUUUUGUCUUUCCCAAGAUGAGGAAUUUUGGACAACUUGGAUACAUAAACCUGAUUCUGAUGAUUUGUUUGUUAGGGUUAACUCAACUUUGUCCGGGGAGUGGCCAAAGGACUCCUCUGUAAUAGGUGGAAGCCAAAAUUGUAUUAUUUAAUAUGGCUACACGAUCUUGCAAAUUGGAUGGAAAUUUGGUCAACUCUUCUAAGAAUCUUUACAGUUCAAUCUUUUUUUGAUACUCAGGAUAUACUAUUGUUAGUUCAUGAGUUUUUUUUUGUGGGUGUUGCAGGGGAGAGAGCCUAUAAAUAUGUGCUUUACUAUGGAACCCAUGGCAGACAGUAGCUCACUAUUUUUUUUACUUGGUUACUUUGUUCUCCUGAUGUUGAGGUUUGAUUUGGUUCAUAUUUUAAUGUUCUGCACCUACUAUGAAUUGUUUGGGUUUUAAUUGAUUGCUCUUCCAAUUCUCGUUUGAUUAUAUGUGUACUCUUUAUUACAUAAUUGAUCAUUCAAUAAAUUUGCUAUCGUUGUUAAAAUAAAAUGAAUAUCUGAUAUUCGUUGAUCCAAUUAUGCAGUGAGCUUAUUUCUGAUUUUUUAUAUCUGGAACAAUUUGCAAUUCUCGAUGAUAAUGGCUACAAAUACAUAGAUCAAAUUUCUUUGAUGAGUAAUUCUUUAUUAUUUUUACUUUUGAGCUUUGAAUGUAAGGCAAAUAUUGAAUUUUGUGUACCUGUUCUUAUGCAGUUUGGUUUUGUCAAAAUAAUGAUGUUCUUUUAUAGACAGAAAUUGAAUUUUGUGUAUCUGUUCUUAUGCAGUGUGGUUUUGUCAAAAUAAUGAUGUUCUUUCAGAGACAUCUCAUUUAUUUUUUAAUGAAUGCAACAAAAUGUGCUAGGUGAAUGGGCAUUUGCUUAAUUUGAGAGGAAUGCAUUCUGAUCACCGAAUUGGUUUGGAGAAUUAUGCUACUAUUAUUUCUUUAUUCUUGGUUUUUUCUACAGCUAUUUGUCACGUCGUAAUUUUGCUGUACAUGUCUGGUGUUCACAGGGUUGCAUGGAUUUGGUUUAUUUCACAAGUGUCCCUUCUCAAACUCUGCAACAUGUUAAUUUUUAUGUCCGAAGUGAAGAAAUUGGAGAUGAGUACCUCUGCGAUACAUUUUUCUGUCUGUGUUAUAUAUUUUCAACUAUGGCUUAUUUGACAAUCUGAAUUUAGAUUUGAACAUUUCUGCAUUCAUGCUUCUCAAUUCUUCUCUGAAAUCUUGGCAAGAUUAUCAUUAUUCAUCAUUAUAUAAUUGGUCUUUUUUUAAAUAUGUAUAUGAAUAUGUAUUUUGUUUUCGAAUAAUUGUUCUUAGAUUGUGUACAAGCUGGUGUCGAAAUUUGUGUGUUUCAGUAUUCGGAACCUGAGUACACGAUUCUGGAAAAAAUAUUUGCUCUUCCCAAGAUGAAUUAUGGACGACUUGGUUACAUUGUAGGUUUGUUUGUUCUGAUGAUUUGUUCGUGAGGAGAGGUUUUCUAUAAUCUUCUUUCACUGGUUUCUAUUGUUAUUUGUGAUUUAGAUGAUGUAGAUGAUGAUACUCUUAAAAAGAUAUCCUUUUCAUUACAGUGGCCUGGGACUCCCUCCUCUCUAUUAGGAGGAAGCCAAAAUUAUGUCACACAUAAUCUGCAGGCUUUAAUUUGGUUAUCUCUUCUAAGACACUUUACAUUUCAGUCUAUGUUUGAUAAUGAACAUCUACUUUUGAGUUUUCUCAUACUUCCCAUUAAACUAGUCAUUUUUUUUUACUUGUGUGUAUGUGUUUCUUGAUUUGGGAUAUGACUUUUUGUGCUCUAGGAACGUGAGUAUGAAGCAUCUUUUUAUCCCUCCCCUAAAGAUAAGGAAUUCUUGACAGCUUAGUUUGACACUUUUUUGUAAUGUUGAUUUGUCACUUCCUUUGUUACAAUUUAUUCUUUUAUUUUCUUUGCCUUUGUUAUAAUUUUUUUCUUCUUUUUAUCUUUUCAUUCGUCUCUUUCAUUUGUGUUACUUCCUUUGUUAUACUGGGGAGAGAACUAUGAAUGUACUGUGGGGAUUCAAAAGUUGUGGUGAAAAUUGGAAGUACUGCCUUUGGAUUAAACAGUCAUUUUUUUCUUGAAUGUACUUGUUUUGAAUGGGGUCCUAUGAUAGUGUAAUGUGGCAAUGUUGAUUUGAAUAUUAGGAGAGCUUCAUCAUUUAUGAUUAUGUAGUACAUGUCUAUCUCUCUCUUGGAUAAUCGGGAUACACAUCCUGUUUUUCAGUGAGUUGAAGUUUGAAUAUCUUGUUUGUAGAUACUUGAUACAAUUAGAUAAGAAAGGUGAGGACAGUUAAUUCAUAUUUCUUCAAUGAGUUGCUAUUUACUAUUUUUAUUUUCAGACUUUGUUAUAAGACAUACUAAAUGAAUUGUGAACAACUUUUCUUCUAGUGUUGAAAUUUUUGUGUUUCUUCAUGUUGGAGCUGGAGCCGAAGUUUUUGUGUUUCUUCUUGUGUUGAAGUUGUGUGUUUUAGUGUCCAAAACUGGAGUACUAGUCUGUCAUAGGGUAAGAGAUUCUGGAAUAACUCUUUGCCCUUCCCACGAUGAGAAAUUUUGGACAAUUUGGUUAUGUGAUAUAUGCUGUUUGCUGUGACAAUUUAACUUUGUUGAGCGAUGUUUUCCAUGAUUUUCUUAUGCUGCUUUUAUUUGUGAUUGGUGAUGAUAAUGAUGAUACUCCUUGAAAUAUAUCAUCCAUUCCUCUUCAUUACAGUCUUUACAUGUAUUAGGAGGAAGCCAAAAUUGUCUCAUUUCACAUGUAUGGGUAAAUGACCUUGCAAAUUGGAUGGAUGUAUCAUCUCCAGCAUUUCAUAUGUAUGGGUACAUGACCUUUCAAAUUGGAUGGAUGUAUCAUCUCCAGCAGGCUUUAAUUUGGUCAUCUCUUAGACUCUUCACAUUCACUUCUGUGUAUUAAAGCAAUAAUUUGGUAAAAAAAAUACAUUUUUAUAACAAAAGCUUUAAUUUGGAUCACUUCACAUGUAUUUCCACAAGUUUAUAUUGUUUAGUUUCCAUGUGAAGCUUUUUUAUUGUUCUUGCAAUUAAUUUGAUUCAUAAUUCAGGUAUUUUGUUUUGUGCUUUCUCUAGGUCCACAGGAAUUACCUUCUGUUUUUGUAACUUUUCUUGCAUGGAGCAUAGCCGAGGCCCUUCCAUUUAUAAAGAAGAAGAAUAUCUAUGCAGAUUUCUUUUCAAGCCUCCCAUUUAAUUAUUAUGAUUUCUUUAAG